RNAcentral lists this ribosomal RNA (467 nucleotides) under uncultured bacterium. RNAcentral describes it as "partial 16S ribosomal RNA". It matches the Rfam family "Bacterial small subunit ribosomal RNA", at positions 27 to 507 of the family's 1533-position model. The record is from RNAcentral.
GGAUGAACGCUGGCGGCGUGCUUAACACAUGCAAGUCGAACGGAAAGGCCCAAGCUUGCUUGGGUACUCGAGUGGCGAACGGGUGAGUAACACGUGGGUGAUCUGCCCUGCACUUCGGGAUAAGCCUGGGAAACUGGGUCUAAUACCGGAUAGGACCACAUUUUGGAUGGUGUGGUGGAAAGUUUUUCGGUGUGGGAUGAGCUCGCGGCCUAUCAGCUUGUUGGUGGGGUAAUGGCCUACCAAGGCGUCGACGGGUAGCCGGCCUGAGAGGGUGUACGGCCACAUUGGGACUGAGAUACGGCCCAGACUCCUACGGGAGGCAGCAGUGGGGAAUAUUGCACAAUGGGCGCAAGCCUGAUGCAGCGACGCCGCGUGGGGGAUGACGGCCUUCGGGUUGUAAACUCCUUUCGCUAGGGAUGAAGCGUUAUGUGACGGUACCUGGAGAAGAAGCACCGGCUAACUACGUG